ACGAACGCUGGCGGCGUGCUUCACCCCUGCAAGUCGAACGGAAAGGCCCCUUUGGGGGUCCUCGAGUGGCGAACGGGUGAGUAACACGUGAGUAACCUGCCCUUGACUUCGGGAUAACUUCAGGAAACUGGGGCUAAUACCGGAUAGGAAUCCUUGCUGCAUGGUGGGGGUUGGAAAGCUUCGGCGGUUUUGGAUGGACUCGCGGCUUAUCAGCUUGUUGGUGGGGUAGUGGCUUACCAAGGCUUUGACGGGUAGCCGGCCUGAGAGGGCGACCGGCCACAUUGGGACUGAGAUACGGCCCAGACUCCUACGGGAGGCAGCAGUGGGGAAUAUUGCACAAUGGGCGGAAGCCUGAUGCAGCAACGCCGCGUGCGGGAUGACGGCCUUCGGGUUGUAAACCGCUUUCAGCAGGGGCGAAGCUUGUGGUGACGGUACCUGCAGAAGAAGCACCGGCUAACUACGUG
This 464-nucleotide ribosomal RNA is filed under the name uncultured bacterium. RNAcentral's name for it is "partial 16S ribosomal RNA". It matches the Rfam family "Bacterial small subunit ribosomal RNA", at positions 29 to 507 of the family's 1533-position model. The record is from RNAcentral.